RNAcentral lists this ribosomal RNA (503 nucleotides) under uncultured bacterium. RNAcentral's name for it is "bacterial SSU rRNA". It matches the Rfam family "Bacterial small subunit ribosomal RNA", at positions 28 to 521 of the family's 1533-position model. The record is from RNAcentral.
GAUGAACGCUAGCUACAGGCUUAACACAUGCAAGUCGAGGGGCAGCAUGAACUUAGCUUGCUAAGUUUGAUGGCGACCGGCGCACGGGUGAGUAACACGUAUCCAACCUUCCGUUUACUCAGGGAUAGCCUUUCGAAAGAAAGAUUAAUACCUGAUAGUAUGGUGAGAUUGCAUGAUAACACCAUUAAAGAUUUAUUGGUAAACGAUGGGGAUGCGUUCCAUUAGGUAGUAGGCGGGGUAACGGCCCACCUAGCCUGCGAUGGAUAGGGGUUCUGAGAGGAAGGUCCCCCACAUUGGAACUGAGACACGGUCCAAACUCCUACGGGAGGCAGCAGUGAGGAAUAUUGGUCAAUGGGCGAGAGCCUGAACCAGCCAAGUAGCGUGAAGGAUGAAGGUCCUACGGAUUGUAAACUUCUUUUAUACGGGAAUAAAACCUCCACGUGUGGGAGCUUGUAUGUACCUUAUGAAUAAGCAUCGGCUAACUCCGUGCCAGCAGCCGCGGU